RNAcentral lists this long non-coding RNA (833 nucleotides) under Panax ginseng (ginseng). RNAcentral describes it as "long non-coding RNA (PGIN_LNC014649)". Lineage: Eukaryota; Viridiplantae; Streptophyta; Magnoliopsida; Apiales; Araliaceae. The record is from RNAcentral.
AGAUUGAUAGAAAACCCGUCCGCUAGACUUACUAGCGGACGUAUUAAGUAAUUUUUCCAGACGCUUUUGCCCCCCUCCUCUUCCCCACUUACUUGGCCAAGACAAAUCGACAGUAAGUACACAAUCCGUUAGUCAUACUAGCGGACAGACUAGCGGACAGGCAAAUUAACUCAAAGGGGAAGGGAAAGGUAACAAAGGUACCGUGUUCUGCGAAUUGGCCGAAAGGAAAGGUAACAAAGGUACCGUCUUCUACGAAUUGGGCGAACCGGAAGAACCAUAGAAGCAAGUAUCUGCAAAUCGAAAAGGUAACAAAGGUGUUCUGCGAAUUGGGCGAAGGGAAAGGUAACAAAGGUACCGUGUUCUGCGAAUUGGGCGAACCGGAAGAACCUAGAAGCAAGUAUUUGCAAAUCGAAAAGGUAACAAAGGUAUAGAUAUACAGUGCCAAAAUUCGUCCCUAGUAUGUCUAGCGGAUUGGGCGGAACGCAAUAACCCUAGAAGCAAUCAACUGCAAUUCGGCAAGAAGUUAUCGAAAUUAAACCUUGUUCUUCCAAAUUCGCAGAACACGCAGGUACCAAAAUCUGAAUUUAAACAUGCCAUGCAUUUUUUUUCUACAGAUCAAUUGUUUUUUUUUAUAUAUAUUUUCUUGGAAGUUUCAAAGUUAUAUAAUCUUGAAACCUAGAUUUGUGGGAAAAAUUGCAUUUUUUUGGUUCACAUUUAGCUCUGUUAUAGUCAUGAGAUACAUAAUGUUUUUUAUUUUGAAACAAUAUCAAAUAUAGCUCUGUUAUUUUUAAGCUAUUGAAUAUGAUCAAAUAAAAAUGUUGGACUGAUUAUGC